This 465-nucleotide ribosomal RNA is filed under the name Vreelandella stevensii. Its description in RNAcentral is "partial 16S ribosomal RNA". It matches the Rfam family "Bacterial small subunit ribosomal RNA", at positions 338 to 795 of the family's 1533-position model. Lineage: Bacteria; Pseudomonadati; Pseudomonadota; Gammaproteobacteria; Oceanospirillales; Halomonadaceae. The record is from RNAcentral.
CCUACGGGUGGCAGGGGUGGGGAAUAUUGGACAAUGGGGGCAACCCUGAUCCAGCCAUGCCGCGUGUGUGAAGAAGGCCCUCGGGUUGUAAAGCACUUUCAGUGAGGAAGAACGCCUGGUGGUUAAUACCCAUCAGGAAAGACAUCACUCACAGAAGAAGCACCGGCUAACUCCGUGCCAGCAGCCGCGGUAAUACGGAGGGUGCGAGCGUUAAUCGGAAUUACUGGGCGUAAAGCGCGCGUAGGUGGCUUGAUAAGCCGGUUGUGAAAGCCCCGGGCUCAACCUGGGAACGGCAUCCGGAACUGUCAAGCUAGAGUGCAGGAGAGGAAGGUAGAAUUCCCGGUGUAGCGGUGAAAUGCGUAGAGAUCGGGAGGAAUACCAGUGGCGAAGGCGGCCUUCUGGACUGACACUGACACUGAGGUGCGAAAGCGUGGGUAGCAAACAGGAUUAGAUACCCCGGUAGUC